This 491-nucleotide ribosomal RNA is filed under the name uncultured bacterium. Its description in RNAcentral is "partial 16S ribosomal RNA". It matches the Rfam family "Bacterial small subunit ribosomal RNA", at positions 30 to 507 of the family's 1533-position model. The record is from RNAcentral.
AUUGAACGCUGGCGGCAUGCUUUACACAUGCAAGUCGAACGGUAACAGGCCUUCGGGUGCUGACGAGUGGCGAACGGGUGAGUAAUGCAUCGGAACGUACCCAGAGGUGGGGGAUAACGCAGCGAAAGCUGUGCUAAUACCGCAUGUGAUCUGAGGAUGAAAGCGGGGAACGAGCAGCAAUGUUUGGCCUCGCGCCUUUUGAGCGGCCGAUGUCGGAUUAGCUAGUUGGUGGGGUAAAGGCCUACCAAGGCGACGAUCCGUAGCUGGUCUGAGAGGACGACCAGCCACACUGGGACUGAGACACGGCCCAGACUCCUACGGGAGGCAGCAGUGGGGAAUUUUGGACAAUGGGCGCAAGCCUGAUCCAGCAAUGCCGCGUGCGGGAAGAAGGCCUUCGGGUUGUAAACCGCUUUUGGCAGGAACGAAACGGUGUCCGCUAAUACCGGGCGCUAAUGACGGUACCUGCAGAAUAAGCACCGGCUAACUACGUG